CCCUGCCAUUUGUACACACCGCCCGUCGCACCUACCGAUUGAAUGGUCCGGUGAAAUCUUUGGACUACGACUUUGUCUCGUUUAUUCAAGACGCUGUUGUGGGAAAUUGAUUAAACCUUACCAUUUAG
This 128-nucleotide ribosomal RNA is filed under the name uncultured eukaryote. RNAcentral describes it as "partial small subunit ribosomal RNA". It matches the Rfam family "Eukaryotic small subunit ribosomal RNA", at positions 1651 to 1776 of the family's 1831-position model. The record is from RNAcentral.